UCUCCGUUGGUGAACCAGCGGAGGGAUCUUUACCGAGUUUACAACUCCCAAACCCCUGUGAACAUACCAUUUGUUGCCUCGGCGGUGCCUGCUUCGGCAGCCCGCCAGAGGACCCAAACCCUUGAUUUUAUACAGUAUCUUCUGAGUAAAUGAUUAAAUAAAUCAAAACUUUCAACAACGGAUCUCUUGGUUCUG
RNAcentral lists this unclassified non-coding RNA (195 nucleotides) under plant metagenome. RNAcentral's name for it is "partial contains small subunit ribosomal RNA, internal transcribed spacer 1, and 5.8S ribosomal RNA". The record is from RNAcentral.